UACGUAGGGUGCAAGCGUUGUCCGGAAUUAUUGGGCGUAAAGAGCUCGUAGGCGGUUUGUUGCGUCGGCUGUGAAAUCCCGAGGCUCAACCUCGGGUCUGCAGUCGAUACGAGCAAACUAGAGUGUUGCAGGGGAGACUGGAAUUCCUGGUGUAGCGGUGAAAUGCGCAGAUAUCAGGAGGAACACCGGUGGCGAAGGCGGGUCGCUGGGCAACAACUGACGCUGAGGAGCGAAAGCGUGGGGAGCGAACAGG
This 253-nucleotide ribosomal RNA is filed under the name uncultured bacterium. Its description in RNAcentral is "partial 16S ribosomal RNA". It matches the Rfam family "Bacterial small subunit ribosomal RNA", at positions 524 to 776 of the family's 1533-position model. The record is from RNAcentral.